GUCUGGGAAACUGCCUGAUGGAGGGGGAUAACUACUGGAAACGGUGGCUAAUACCGCAUAACGUCGCAAGACCAAAGAGGGGGACCUUCGGGCCUCUUGCCAUCAGAUGUGCCCAGAUGGGAUUAGCUUGUUGGUGAGGUAACGGCUCACCAAGGCGACGAUCCCUAGCUGGUCUGAGAGGAUGACCAGCCACACUGGAACUGAGACACGGUCCAGACUCCUACGGGAGGCAGCAGUGGGGAAUAUUGCACAAUGGGCGCAAGCCUGAUGCAGCCAUGCCGCGUGUAUGAAGAAGGCCUUCGGGUUGUAAAGUACUUUCAGCGGGGAGGAAGGUGUUGUGGUUAAUAACCGCAGCAAUUGACGUUACCCGCAGAAGAAGCACCGGCUAACUCCGUGCCAGCAGCCGCGGUAAUACGGAGGGUGCAAGCGUUAAUCGGAAUUACUGGGCGUAAAGCGCACGCAGGCGGUCUGUCAAGUCGGAUGUGAAAUCCCCGGGCUCAACCUGGGAACUGCAUUCGAAACUGGCAGGCUUGAGUCUUGUAGAGGGGGGUAGAAUUCCAGGUGUAGCGGUGAAAUGCGUAGAGAUCUGGAGGAAUACCGGUGGCGAAGGCGGCCCCCUGGACAAAGACUGACGCUCAGGUGCGAAAGCGUGGGGAGCAAACAGGAUUAGAUACCCUGGUAGUCCACGCCGUAAACGAUGUCUACUUGGAGGUUGUGCCCUUGAGGCGUGGCUUCCGGAGCUAACGCGUUAAGUAGACCGCCUGGGGAGUACGGCCGCAAGGUUAAAACUCAAAUGAAUUGACGGGGGCCCGCACAAGCGGUGGAGCAUGUGGUUUAAUUCGAUGCAACGCGAAGAACCUUACCUGGUCUUGACAUCCACAGAACUUUCCAGAGAUGGAUUGGUGCCUUCGGGAACUGUGAGACAGGUGCUGCAUGGCUGUCGUCAGCUCGUGUUGUGAAAUGUUGGGUUAAGUCCCGCAACGAGCGCAACCCUUAUCCUUUGUUGCCAGCGGUCCGGCCGGGAACUCAAAGGAGACUGCCAGUGAUAAACUGGAGGAAGGUGGGGAUGACGUCAAGUCAUCAUGGCCCUUACGACCAGGGCUACACACGUGCUACAAUGGCGCAUACAAAGAGAAGCGACCUCGCGAGAGCAAGCGGACCUCAUAAAGUGCGUCGUAGUCCGGAUUGGAGUCUGCAACUCGACUCCAUGAAGUCGGAAUCGCUAGUAAUCGUGGAUCAGAAUGCCACGGUGAAUACGUUCCCGGGCCUUGUACACACCGCCCGUCACACCAUGGGAGUGGGUUGCAAAAGAAGUAGGUAGCUUAACCUUCGGGAGGGCGCUUACCACUUUGUGAUUCAUGACUGGGGUGAAGUCGUAACAAGGUAACCGUAGGGGAACCUGCGGUUGGA
This 1410-nucleotide ribosomal RNA is filed under the name Salmonella enterica. Its description in RNAcentral is "bacterial SSU rRNA". It matches the Rfam family "Bacterial small subunit ribosomal RNA". RNAcentral also lists the same sequence under 1 other name. Lineage: Bacteria; Pseudomonadati; Pseudomonadota; Gammaproteobacteria; Enterobacterales; Enterobacteriaceae. The record is from RNAcentral.